GGGCCAUUAGCUCAGUUGGUUAGAGCGCUGUGUUGAUAACGCAGAGGUCCCUGGUUCGAAUCCAGGAUGGCCCA
This 74-nucleotide transfer RNA is filed under the name Fructobacillus fructosus. RNAcentral's name for it is "tRNA-Ile". It matches the Rfam family "tRNA". From Rfam's summary of the family: Transfer RNA (tRNA) molecules are approximately 80 nucleotides in length. Their secondary structure includes four short double-helical elements and three loops (D, anti-codon, and T loops). Lineage: Bacteria; Bacillati; Bacillota; Bacilli; Lactobacillales; Lactobacillaceae. RNAcentral also lists the same sequence under 9 other names. The record is from RNAcentral.